CACAAACAGAAUGACUCCAAAUUACUGAACGAGAAUGAAGGAAGGACUUGGAGUGGACAGGUUGAGUGAACCGACAUCCAUAGAUAAGGACUAGGCAGUGAUAAGGCCUUGCCUGUCUUUGUUAUGAUGAAGUCCCUGGUGCUGCGAACUUAAUGAAGAACACUUCAGAGAAUCAAGGAAGGAAAGGAGAGACACUUGAGGCUGAGAAGGAAUGUGCUCUUCCUGGACUCAAGAGAAAAGAAAGAGGCAGCCAUCUGAAGCUGUGCUCACUUGCCUUCCGAAGUGCAGCAGAGAGGCAUAGUGGGACAGGCUGCUACUCCCCACUGGAGACUGCAGUGAGCAAGACUCCAGAGGGAGAUGAAGCCUGGCUUGGAACAGCCCCACUGGGCCGCCUUGCGGUUCUGUUUACCAGGAAGGAGCCGGUCGUAGACAGGGAAGUGGAAAGGGACUGGUGAAUGGGUGAGGAGGAGCCCAGACACUGGG
Mesocricetus auratus (golden hamster) is the source of this 483-nucleotide long non-coding RNA. RefSeq lists it as uncharacterized. The record is from RefSeq and is a predicted model, not a curated record. The transcript has 3 exons. NCBI's taxonomy places the organism in Eukaryota, Metazoa, Chordata, Mammalia, Rodentia, Cricetidae.